Magnolia sinica is the source of this 1116-nucleotide long non-coding RNA. RefSeq lists it as uncharacterized. The transcript is spliced from 3 exons. NCBI's taxonomy places the organism in Eukaryota, Viridiplantae, Streptophyta, Magnoliopsida, Magnoliales, Magnoliaceae. The record is from RefSeq and is a predicted model, not a curated record.
AUACAUGCCCGGUAUAUCAUAACCAACAAAGGAUCAAAUGCCCGGUCUUAUACAUGCCUGUUUUAUCAAUAGUGUUCCUGAUUGUUGGUACAGAUGAUGGGACUUGGAUAUUGCAAUUGUCAAGGCCACUAACCAUGUUGAACAUAUGGCAAAAGAAAAACAAACUCAGUGAGUCCAAGCUUCCUUCAACCAUUGCUGUGAGGACUUGCACAGAAGAAUCAACAAUUGAGGAUAAACUCGAGAAUUGAGAAACAAGGCUGAGAGCAUUGCAAAGAUGGAAAAGAUCAUUCAAGAGAGGUAAGAUAAGGUCACAUUAUUACAGAGCGAGAUAGAGUUGCUUCAGGUGAGGUUUGAUAUAAUGCUCACACAAUUGCAUUGCAUCCGACUUAGUGAAGGUUUCCACAUUUUGGCUCCUAUAACAAUUGUGUGAUUUGUGGUCACUGAGCUAUUGUUGACUUUUGAAGUUUGUUUCUGAUUUAAAUUGAAUUUCGAUAACAUGUAUAUGUUGUAAGCUUUAUUUUGGUUUCCUGUCCUGCAGAAAAAGUUAAGAUGAUUGCCGGAGUUUCCAUGGAGGGUUUUAUGAGCCUGACUAAAUAAUAGGAUCUGAAAAUAAUCUAGCUAUCCUAGGCACCGAUGGUUGUGCCUUCUUGUACUCUGUCUUAUGUAAUUUUCAGCAGCAUAGCAUAGUUUGUAGACAUGAUAAUAUUAACGUUUUCAAAAGGAAGCUGCCUCAAGCCUUUGGAGGUUAUUUUCACGUAGGUCCCAAAACUCCCUAGUCCUUGGAGGUUCACGUAUCUCCAUAUGCAGUUUGGCAGAACUUUCCAUGCUUGUGCUGCAUUCCAAACUUGGAGUUCAAGUUAACUCAGUUCAGCAGCUCUAAAUACCAAGUCCAAACUGAGUCAUCAAACUAGGCAAGUUUUCAUUAUUUGAAUGAGUGGAACUUGGGAAUAAACACGCACUACAAAUUUGUAAAUGAAAUCCUUGGCAACUUUUGUAUUCUCCAUUCUUUAUUAUCUUCUCAUAAAAUGAAAAAUGAAAAAAGAAGAAGUUUUGAUGUUGUUGUCAUUCAGCAAGGAUAUCGUUUUAGAAGCAUUCAUCUGAAGAAAUCUAUUUGUA